RNAcentral lists this ribosomal RNA (497 nucleotides) under uncultured bacterium. RNAcentral describes it as "partial 16S ribosomal RNA". It matches the Rfam family "Bacterial small subunit ribosomal RNA", at positions 28 to 507 of the family's 1533-position model. The record is from RNAcentral.
GACGAACGCUGGCGGCGUGCCUAAUACAUGCAAGUUGAGCGAUGAAGAUUGGUGCUUGCACCAAUUUGAAGAGCAGCGAACGGGUGAGUAACGCGUGGGGAAUCUGCCUUUGAGCGGGGGACAACAUUUGGAAACGAAUGCUAAUACCGCAUAACACCUUUAAACAUAAGUUUAAAGUUUGAAAGAUGCAAUUGAUUCACUCAAAGAUGAUCCCGCGUUGUAUUAGCUAGUCGGUGAGGUAAAGGCUCACCAAGGCGAUGAUACAUAGCCGACCUGAGAGGGUGAUCGGCCACAUUGGGACUGAGACACGGCCCAAACUCCUACGGGAGGCAGCAGUAGGGAAUCUUCGGCAAUGGACGAAAGUCUGACCGAGCAACGCCGCGUGAGUGAAGAAGGUUUUCGGAUCGUAAAACUCUGUUGGUAGAGAAGAACGUUGGUGAGAGUGGAAAGCUCAUCAAGUGACGGUAACUACCCAGAAAGGGACGGCUAACUACGUG